UCUUAAAUUUUAUUGAAAUAAAAAGGACAAAGACAUGUGGACAACAUAGCCCACAUCAUACUCUGUACAAUCUUUGGAAAGACAGACGCACAAAAUCAAAAAAAGGAAAUGAUUCAGGUCUUCUUCAACGAGCUCUAUGGCUGUCUAAACUCCGGCAACUUCUCCGACCUUCUACAGCUCUCAACUGCCAUUGUAGUUCAUCUUCCAAAAAUAGGCCAACUAAGUUCUGACAAUCUAAUAUUUGCAACGGGGUUGUUUGGUUGAUGGUUAGACUUAUGCAAGGAUUAGUUAUGCAGUAAAGACUGUGAAGAUCAAUCCAUGAAGGACAAAUCAAGGUUUAGUGUCUCUCUCAGAAGUCUUUCACAACCAAUGUCCUUAAAAGACAUAGCAAGGACUUGGGAUAUUUGCACUCACGUGAUAAUUUUUGAGUAUGCACAGCAAAGUGGUGGAGGAACUUUCAGCUCAAAGUACGGGUGGGUCUUGGGAGAAUUGUUUGAGUGCAGCAUGAUCAAACACGAUCUGAUGAGCCAAGUUAUGAGAUUAUCUUGAUCCACCCUUCGACUGCUGCCUCCUAUAUAGUGGAGGUGACUGCACAUAUUUCGGGUGCACACAUGUUACACUCAGAUGAAAAAGAAUACAGGUCACCUAGUAUGUCUACAGGGAAUCAGUAGCCUAAUUUGACAAUAAGUCAUACCUUAUGCAUUGUUAUAUAUGCACUUUGCGUAAAAAUCUGUCAAGUGGACACAAAUUUGUAGUUCUUGCUAUAGUUAACUGUGUAUAAAUCCUCCCAAUCCCUUUUUGCAUUUCUGUGCAGAAAGUUUGUAGAGUGGCUAGAGGUUGAAGUUUUUGGGA
RNA transcript from Solanum tuberosum (potato), 852 nucleotides. RefSeq lists it as uncharacterized. The transcript is spliced from 3 exons. The record is from RefSeq and is a predicted model, not a curated record. NCBI's taxonomy places the organism in Eukaryota, Viridiplantae, Streptophyta, Magnoliopsida, Solanales, Solanaceae.